This 906-nucleotide ribosomal RNA is filed under the name Aptostichus sp. MEN. RNAcentral describes it as "partial 16S ribosomal RNA". The record is from RNAcentral. Lineage: Eukaryota; Metazoa; Arthropoda; Arachnida; Araneae; Euctenizidae.
CAUAAACUUUUUCUUCAAUACGGGCUUUUAGAAAAAAUUAUGCUGUUAUCCCUGCGGUAGCAUUAAUUUAUUCUUAUUAAAAGGCUAGAUAGAAGAAAAAAGAAAAAGAUUUAGUUUUUUACCACCCCAGUAAAACUGAAGUAAAGUUCGACAGGGUCUUGUCGUCCUUCUUAAAAAUUCAAGUCUUUUUACUUGGAUGAUAAUUUAAAAAAACAAAGAAAAUAAAGGAAUUUAUAUGUAAAACCUUUCAUGCUAGCCUUUAAUUAAAAGGCAAAUGAUUAUGCUACCUUAGCACAAAAUAAUUGCGGCUAUUUAAAGAGGUCAUUGAGCAGGUACUACUGAAUGUCAAUUCGUUCAGCAAUGUUUUUGGUAAACAGACAAUAAAUAAUAGCCGAGUUCAUGGUCUUUGUGUGGAAAAAGAGAAAAUCAUAAUUAAUUAAAAAAAAUUAGGAAAUUUUUACUAAUAAAAUCAUUGUGAUACUUUUGAGGGGGGUUUCUUUUAAUAGAAUUUUUUAAAAUUAUAAUUAAAGUUUAAAGACUGGUUGGACACUAUUAAUCCUGAGAUUAGAAAUUAUAUAGGGUGGAAUAAAUUUUUUAAAAAACUUAUCUUUUUUAAAAUUAAAGUAUUAUUACUUUAAAAGAGGACCAGAUAUCAUAGAAUGCGAAUGAAGUUUCAUCGCUAAAAUUGAUUUGGUAGGUUUUUUGAGACAAACCUAACAUAAAAAUGUUAGAUCAUUUCAAUUUCGGGAGGAUCUUUAAUAAGGAGUAAUUAGAUUAGCCCUGAUACAAAAGGUACAAAUUUUUUCUAAAAAACAAAGAUAAUUCUUUCCCCUCACGGUUAAGGAAAAAAAAAGAAAGAUAGAUAAAAAGGAAUACUUUUUUAGAUAAAAAUCUUCAAAUAGAAGU